Molecule: long non-coding RNA, 8366 nt
Organism: Ictalurus punctatus (channel catfish)
Lineage: Eukaryota; Metazoa; Chordata; Actinopteri; Siluriformes; Ictaluridae
Source: Ensembl
UAUAUAUAUAUAUAUAUAUAUAUAUAUAUAUAUAUAUAUAUAAUUCUUUCUUUAAUUCAAUUUUAGUAAUACUUUAAAUUAUUUGUUUAUCACAGAGAGACGUAAAAUGUAUUCGAUUAUUUAAUAAAUGUAAAUUUAAGAGCUGCAGAGACUACUAAUUUUCAUUAAUUCACUAAUUGUAUAUUUUAAGCCAGUUUUGACAUUUGAUUUAUCCCAUAUGAAUUAUAAUAAUUGAAAUCAGCAUGAAUGUGUUAAAAUAUGAAUAUGAUACAGAGAGGAUGAUUUUUUUCAAGUUAAACUAAGGUUUUGAAAUUACUUGAAACUAGUGUUUCACACUUCUUUAUAACAUGUUAAAAAGAGAAAUCACUAUGCAUUCAAUAACAUCAAUACUGUUUGGCAUAGUGAGAAUACAACAAUGCUCCUAUAUUGUUAAAGCCACAUUGGUAAAUCUUUAAAGUUUAAAAAAAGUUGGUAAAAUUUAGUUUAAUUCUUGAUUGUACUCUUUGAUUUUGUUUUUCUUUUCUACACUUUGUCUGUAUGUAUGUAUGUAUUUGUGUGUAUAUGUAAGUAUAACGAAAAAUGAGAAUGGUAUUGUUCCUAUGUGACAGGAAGUAUGUUUUAUUUAUCAAUAAAAAUAUUUUGGAGAAAAAAAAAUUGAAUUCACAGAGUAAAAAUAUUAAAAGAUAUUCUUUAAUUCUGUAAUUGUCUCAACAUAGGCAUAUAGGCCUAUGUUUAUAUUACAUUUUUACAAGAUACCAGGUUCCAUAGUAUAUUUGGAAAUUUUUCAUAUGAAGGCUUUUCCCAAGACAUCAUACAACACCUACAUUACCAAAUAUAUCACAGUCACAGCUUGCUUUUUCUUCUUAAAAAUGUCUAUUCUUUCCAGUUCCAUAAAAUGGAGGGGGGGCACUGAAAUGGUAUUUGUUUUAUGGACAAAACAUGACAAUAAACUUCAGUUCAUGGACGCAUGUAUCUAAUGGUUGGUCUGAGUUUUUCCCAGUGUAAAGGCUCAAUUAUUUGGCCGCUGAUUCACUGUUGCUCAUAUCAAAGACGCUAUUUUUCCAAACCAAAGAUACAAAUUCUUCGUCUGAGUCUUUCUCCCUGUUUUAAUUUUUUUUUGUUUUUUUUUUUUACCCUGAACAGGGUAACAGCAAGUUUGUGGAGUAUAAAUGUUAACUUCUUUAUAUACUUUCUUCAAAGAAACCAAGUCAAAGUUUUUGAUCAUUGUUCUUCCAGUUAUUAAUCAUUAUGAAACAAGAUAUUUUAUUCACAUUUCUCACACUGUCCAUUUAAACCUUGUCAGGCUUUCACUGUUUAACCAUAUUAGUAGUGUUUAAAACAGCAUGUUAGGUUAUUGAUUAAUUUUUUUUAAAAAAUAGCCAGCAUGAUCUCAUCCAUUGUCUAUGCAUGUACUUAAGGUACUUACAUACUUAAUGUAUGCAGGAAAAUGUGUAAAGGAUUCUUUGUCUUUAUAAAAAAAUAUAUCUGUACAACCGCAAAACAAAUGACGCGAAUGAAUAAAACUUAUGCAUGUUAGUCCAGUGUAAAUAUUUUACAUAAUUGUAACCAUUGAUAUGAAUUUGUGAGAUUUGAUUGAUUGCUUGCUAUUGACUUACUAGUGAGGGGCCAUGUCAUACCAUGGCAAUCAUCCUUUUUUUCCUCUUGUGUGAAUGUAUUUAAAUGCACGUGUCUUUGGGGGUGAGGGGAGAAAAGAAGGGUGGUAGCUGGUGUCUAAAUCUUGUAAAAUGGUUUUCCUAAUAUGGGCUGUCUCUCCUGAGACUCCUCCUCUUCCCUAUAAGUGGGCAGGACUCUAUCCUCUUAUUCAGCCAGUGAUGACACAGCUACGACUCACUUCCCCAUUAAUUGGCUGAAACCAGUUCUUACAGGAACUGUCGGUGAUAAAUCUCUGUUACGCAGUUUGUUGCCUCUCUCCUGAAGACGAACCUUGAGGUGUUGGAGCAACACCGGCAGUGAGUAUCACAACUUUUUUUCUCUAUCUGUUCUACCGUUCUUCUUCUAUCACUGUUUGCUAAUGCAUUGUACAUGCAUAAUUUAUUAGCUAAUUGUAGUGUUGCGGUGGGUUGGUGCUGUCAUUCAUGGUGGAAGAGUGUGGUGUGGCAGAGUUCAUUGUGUGUCUAGGGUUAAAAUGGAGUGGUGACUGUGGCCUGUUCAGGGUCUGGCUCCUGAGGGAUGCUGAGUCAUGCUCAGCAGGUGGAGCUGCUAUGACUGAAGUGUACACUCCCCCACGUCACUCACAACCCCCACCCUCCAUCCCCCUUCCCCUUAGCAAGCGAACCCUGUUGAACUCGAUGCAGGCUGAUCGAGACAGGAGGGGCCCCCAGGGGCUGAGAGGGUGGGGGAAUUCUACUCCCAAUUCCUGCCACUAACAAUCUCUCACAACUCUGUAGAAGCUGUGGAAACAAAGACAUUACACCUUUUAGCUCACUGCUCUUCUAGGUUGGCCUGCUUUUGACUACUUCCGUUUUUUGUUUUUUUGUUUUUCACCUGAAUCGAUUUCUUUCUUGUAACUUAAUCUUCCUGGUUUGAAAAGCUUUGGAGCAAAAAGCUAUUUAACUGGUAAUAAGAAAUACCGGCUUGCAUCAGAUGCAUCUAGAAGGAAAAGGGGAUGGUGAAAAUAUUGAACAUUAAAUGAGAUUUUAAAUUACUCUGUUCCUUAAGGAUUGUUUGUUUGUGUGUGUGUGUGUGUGUGUGUGUGUGUGUGUGUGUGUGUGUGUGUGUUCUCUCUCCAUUGUGCAGGAUGAAAACUCGCUCUCCUGGGUGUUUCAGAAGGUGGUGACCAUCUUGUGUGUGUGUGUGUGAGUGUGAAUGAGUGGCAGAGAAAUAUUCAGGGGGUAAAAUUAAAAACUUUGUGUGGGUGUAGUUGUGUGUCAAAAGAGUGAGAAUGAAAUUUUCACCAGGUUGUUUCACUCACAUACUACCUGAGCCUGUCUGUAUUUCUCAAAUUAAAAAAAAAAAGAAGAAGAAGAAUUUUUGAGUCUCUUUGUUCUCCUUUGUACCUGUGAAAAGUAAUUGGCUUCUUACAGAGUUUAAUAUAGUAAAUGGGGCUGGAGAGAUGUAAGGUUGCAGCAUUGUGUUUUGGCAGAACAGCUUUAUUUAAAAGUGCAGGAACUUAUUGACCAUUGAGGCCUUCAGAUUAUGACAUCUAGAUAUAUUUUAUUCUCAAUAAAUCAUACAUAUAUCUCAAUAAAUAAGUCAUCAUUUACAUUUGGGUUAUGAAAUAGUGUUGGUGCUAAACACUGAAACUGUAAUAAAUAUCAGUGAAUCAUACUGUAGUUUCCAGUAGUUACUGUUUAAUUUCCAUAGACUGAGAAACAACUUGUUAGUCAGACCAGGGCUUCACAAUCCUGGUAAUAUGUGCAAUCAUAUGAACAUGAAUUUUUCAGAGAUUGUGGAUGAGUGGAUGGAGGUUCACUAUUCUUGAGCAGUUCACCUUUUUGUGUAUGUUUUAUCUGACUGAGAUCACAACUGUGCUUAUAUUGACAGCAGAAUACUGACUGUUGUUGGGCUGUCACUGUUUAUAUUAAUGAGACUGGCUGAUAGUAUGUCUGACAUUGUGACUACUGUUUUGUGAUAUUGAGGGUUUCAAAUUUAGGUGUAUGUUGUAUAUCUUAUAGAGAUCUUCUCUAAAAUACUCCCUGAUCAGAACCGUGCUUAUAUUGGAAGCAGAAUACUGAUUAUUGAUGGGCUCUCACUGCUUAUGUUAAUGAGACUGGCUAAUAAUAUGUCUGAUAUUGUGACUACUUUUUUUAUGUUUUUCUUUAGGUAAUGCAAUUCAUUCAGAAGUUUCUAAACAAUGUUAAAGAUUUUUGUGUUCUUUUAUGCCUGGUCUUGGCACUCAUAAUAAGGUAUAAUGGGUGCCAAGACCCAAUAUUAAUUAAUGCAAUAUGAUGUAAUUUAUUUUUUGUUCCUUGAUUAUACAAAAGCUUCUUUGCCUCUUUUUUCAUUUUGUAAUUUUUUUUUAGAACUGCUUGUGAAAUGUUUUCUCCCUCAUCUGUGCUUUUUUGUAACACUGCCCUGGUAUGCUAGCCUGGAAGCUUCAGGCAUAUAAAAAAAAAUGGAACAGUGUGGGGUUUCUUUGCUGUUACCUUAGCUGAACCCUGGGCUGAACUCAAUGCACUGUACUGCUGGCAGGAAGGAUAUGAAGAAGAGAGAGAAAGGGGGAUACAAGCAAGAGGCUAAGCAUGUUCAGCUAGCGGACAUGCUCGUCAGUGAAUGGGAAGCACAUUUUGAACCGCUAUAACAGGACAUAUUUGGUUACAAAAUAACAGAAUAUGGCCUCCAACAACCACCUCCUACCAUUCCUCUUUGUCUAUGGUAAGUGUUCUUUUCUUUCCUUUCCAUUUUAUUCUUCAUGUGUGGAUCAGGCAUUUCCAUCCAUCUCUCCCAGUGUGUCAGAUAGCUUAUCAGACUGGUGUUGGCUGUUUUAAUGCAUGGCGACAACAGUCUGUAGGCUGUCUGACAUUUUGGGCUUUUUCAUCCAAAAAUACACCUUAUUUGUUAUCUUCAAGUUUGUUUUAUUGUUAUUUCUUGUCUUGCUUUUAAAUAGUUUGCCAUGGUUCAGUGAUUUAAGCUAAACUUUUCCCUUUAAACUAUUGGAUGAAGUAGUACAGUUUUAUAAAUGCGUAUGUAAAUAACCAGUACAUGUAAUUCUCUACAUUUCUGUUCAUACAUUUAUGUACUAUAAUUUUCCCUUUUGGGGUGAGAGAGAGAGAGAGAGAGAGAGAGAGAGAGAGAGAGAGAGAGAGAGAGAGUGAGAGAGAGUGUGUGUGUGUGUGUGUGUGUGUGUGUGUGUGUGUGUGUGUGUGUGUGUGUGUGUGUGUGUGUGUGUGUGUGUGUGUGUGUGUGUGUGCGUGCAUGUGAGCUUGUGUGUGUCCGGAGCCUUCCUUCAACUACCUAUGUUUUUUACAAAUCCAAAACACACUUUAUUGCAACAUACAAUGUUAUGACAGUUUUGCUGUUUGGACUGCUUAUCCCUCCCCUCUCUGUUUAUUGCUUUUAUGGAUCAGUGUUUAUUUGUCUCUGGGUCUGCAAUAAUUUCUUCAUUCUUUUUUUGCUUAAAGUGACUACACUGGCAUAGAUGUCCCUCUGAGGGAACCCUUAUAGUAUGUCCCUCUGAGGGAACCCUUUACACCCUUUUAGGAGUCUAAGAUCCCUUAAAGAAUGCCUGAAGAACCUAAGAGUGCACCUUUUUUCCUUUUUAAUCUCAGAUUUGUGAUCAAGAGACCUUUUUUGAAUUGCUUCCUAGUUCUGAACAUUCUAUUUUUUAUUUCUUGGUAAAUUUUGUUUUUCGUAUGACUAUUUGUAUGAUUAUAUAAGUGUAUAUUAACAAAAAUAAACAAGGUUGCAUUAAUGCUUAGUCUGGCUCUUUGUUUCUUGCUGUGGCAUGAUUGAUCACCCUAUACCAAAUGUCUGAGAUAUCUAUAUAUCAUUAUAUCUGUGUGUCAUCUCUCUCAAAAGACCCAUUUACAGAGACAUACUUAUCUAUUUCAUCUAGAAAUAGUUGAAAAGACAGCUUUAUGGUCAAAGACUGAAAUAAGAAAGUUAUUGAACACAUCUUAUUAUAUUUAAUGAGUUAAGACUUCAUCCAAGAUAUAGUGAAUAGUACCUCUACUCACAUACCCCGUGUCUGUACUCAUUUCACUUUAGUGUGUUUUUUUUUCUUGAGCCGUUUGUGCACCUUUAUUUCUUUAAUUAGAGUUUUUAUUGUCAUUUGUGUAUGCACUUGUGAAAAUGACUUUGCUUCUUACAGAGUCCAAUAUAGUAAAUGGGGCUGGAGAGGUGUAACGUGUGUGCAAUAAGUCAUUCAUAAACAGAGUAUGUCAUAUCCUUUGCAACUUAUAUCCUGGAAACUAUUCCAGUUUGGUAGUUUGGUACAUAGUUGGUACAUACGUAGUUUGGUUUCUGAAGCAAUGAUAUAUCUGCCAGACGGUUUUAAACUGUCAGUUAUUGAUUAAUAUUACCUUUUCAAAUUCACAAGGGAAAUGUAUUCUAUUUAUGGCUAUAUGACUAAAUUGUCUCCUUCAGUGGGCUAUUCUAUACUACUUUCUAAUGAUCAGAAUUAUGCAAACAAUAAAUUUUUAAAGGUAAACUGAGAAAAGUAGCAGUGUAGAAGCCAAGUCAUUUUCUAAUUUGUAAGUCACUUUCGAUAAAAGCGUCUGCUAAAUGAAUAAAUGUAAAUGUAAAUGUAGUAUAGCAACAGUUAUUAAUCAUGGGUAAAACUGUUAAUUUCUCAGUCUCACCCCCAAACUUGCCUUAAUACCGCAUAACAUUGUUUUUAAAAUGCAAAAGAAUACAUACUCUCACAUAUACAUACACUGGAUGGUCCUUCAAAUGGCCCCACCAACAUUUAAUAUGGGGUUGUAUUUUCCAUCCAUCUUCAACCGCUUACUCCUUUUCAGGGUCACGAGGAACCUGGAGCCUAUCCCAGGCAGCAUCGGGCACAAGGCGAGGUAUACCCUGGACAGGGUGCCAUUCCAUCGCAGGGCACACAAUCACACACACAUUCAUACACUAUGGACACUUUAGACACGCCAAUCAGCCUACCAUGCAUGUCUUUGGACUGGGGGAGGAAACCCCCACAGUGAACAUGCAAACUCUGCACACAUAGAGCUGCGGGAAUCGAACCCUGACCCUGGUGGUGUGAGGCGAACGUGCUAACCAAUUCAUUACCAAUAAAUGGCCAAGGAAUAAAAAUAGGAAUUCUGUCUGAAAGUUUCACUGAAACUAUUAUGCAAAUCUCUUGUUCAAAUAUUUAAUUUUAAUAAGGCUUUAAUAUUAUACAGUCACCUCUGAAAGUAUUGGAAAGGCAAGGCCAAUUCUUUUGUUUUUGCUAUAUAUUGAAGACAUUUGGAUUUGGGUCAUUCCAUCUCAAGUGGUCCAAUGCAGGUUGCUCGACUGAGUGAUUACCUAAGUUACAUUUAACUACGAUGGCCGUCUUUGUGUUGUGUCAAGGCAAACAACAAAUUUUGGUUAUACAGCUGUUCAUGGAAACCUCAAUAUCUCAGCUCAGGACGGGCCAAGCUCCUUGGAACAAAAGCUGAUCUCUAGAGCACAUUACAAGGUACAUGCACAUUUUGCACAUUUGUUUUCCUUAGAUUUAGAACUUACAGUAGUGCUUAAAAGUUUGUGAACCUUUUACAAUUUUCUAUAUUUAUGUAUAAAUAUAAUCUUAAGAUUUUCAAACAAGUCCUAAAAGUAGAUAAAGAGAACCCAAUUAAACAAAUGAGACAAAAAUAUUAUACUUGGUCAUUUAUUUAUUGCAGAAAAUGAUCGAAUAUUACAUAUCUGUGAGUGGCAAAAAUAUGUGAGCCUUUGCUUUCAGUAUCUGGUGUGACUCCAUUGUGCACCCCAUUGUGUUUAUCAGUCCUGCACAUUGGCUUGGAGGAAUUUUUGCCCAAUUUUCAGUACAGAACAGAUUUGGCUCUGGGAUGUUGGUGGGUUUCCUCAAAUUAACUGCUUGCUUCAGGACUUUCCACAACAUUCUUAUUGGAUUAAGGUCAGGACUAUGACUUGGCCAUUUCAAAACAUUUAGUAAACUUUAUUCUUCUUUAACCAUUCUUUGGUAGAACGACUUGUGUGCUUAGGGUCAUUGUCUUGCUGCAUGCCCCAUUUUCUCUUGAGAUGGACAGAUGUCCUGACAUUUUCCUUCAUUCAUUGUUCCAUCAAUGAUGGCAAGUGGUUCUGGGCCAGAUGCAGCAAAACAGGCCCAAACCAUGAUACUACCACCAGCAUGUUUCACAGAUGGGAUAAGGUUCUUAUGCUGGAAUGCAGUGGAAUACAGAAACAUAUGGCUUAAUCAGAUCAGUGAAGGCCAGCACAGGCGCAGUAGUCAGACACUGAAUUAUCUGGUGGAGCGCUUCAGUGCAAGACAAGGUAAGUACUGGAUUUCUUUUGGUCAAAUUUCCUAUAGUGCUGCAUUGGGACAUAACCCUUGGUGAGCUCUGUAAGGGGUUUAACAAUUCUCGCAUAAUCAGCAAUUAAUCAAUUUAUAGUAAUACGAGCAGAAUCCUAGAAAGGAUUUCAAUGAUUUAAGGUCUACAGGUUGAGACCAGGUGGUAAAAGCCUUAACCUUGUUUGGAUCAAUCAGUUGCAAUACCCUCAGCAGACACAACAUGCCCUACAUAUUUCACUUUAGCUUGACAAAAUUUGCAUUUAUUCAGUGAAAUUUUUAGACCAACUUCCUCCAACCUGUCUAAAACCCUAAUGUGCCUGUUUUCAUGCUCUUACAAUGACUUUCCAAAGACGAUGAGAUCAUUAGUGUAAACUAGGACCUGAAGAAGGUUCGUAUCCCCCACAGCUUUUUCCAUCAGUCUUUGGAAUGUUACCAGAGUUCCAGUAAUGCCCUG